RNAcentral lists this ribosomal RNA (253 nucleotides) under uncultured bacterium. RNAcentral's name for it is "partial 16S ribosomal RNA". It matches the Rfam family "Bacterial small subunit ribosomal RNA", at positions 524 to 776 of the family's 1533-position model. The record is from RNAcentral.
UACGGGGGGAGCAAGCGUUGUUCGGAUUUACUGGGCGUAAAGGGCGCGUAGGCGGCGCGGUAAGUCGGGUGUGAAAUCUCGGAGCUUAACUCCGAAACUGCAUUCGAUACUGCCGUGCUUGAGGACUGGAGAGGAGACUGGAAUUUACGGUGUAGCGGUGAAAUGCGUAGAUAUCGUAAGGAAGACCAGUGGCGAAGGCGGGUCUCUGGACAGUAACUGACGCUGAGGAGCGAAAGCGUGGGGAGCGAACAGG